CCCUUAGAUGUUCUGGGCUGCACGCGCGCUACACUGAAGCUAUCAACACGUUUUCCCUCCCUGAGAAGGGCGGGUAACCUUUUGAAUCAGCUUCGUGGUAGGGAUCGGGGCUUGCAAUUGUUCCCCGUGAACCAGGAAUUCCUAGUAGACGCGAAUCAUAAGCUCGCAUCGAUUAAGUCCCUGCCCUUUGUACACACCGCCCGUCGCUACUACCGAUUGAACGUUUUAGUGAGGCAUUUGGACCGACGCAUCUCAGUUUAACCGCUGGUUUGUGUUGGAAAGACUUCCAAACUUGAGCGUUUAGAGGAAGUAAAAGUCGUAACA
Molecule: ribosomal RNA, 324 nt
Filed under: uncultured eukaryote
Lineage: Eukaryota
Description: partial 18S ribosomal RNA
Rfam family: Eukaryotic small subunit ribosomal RNA
Source: RNAcentral